UUGAACGCUGGCGGCAUGCCUUACACAUGCAAGUCGAACGGCAGCACGGGAGCAAUCCUGGUGGCGAGUGGCGAACGGGUGAGGAAUACAUCGGAAUCUACCCUGUCGUGGGGAUAACGUAGGAAACUUACGCUAAUACCGCAUACGAACUGAGGUUGAAAGCGGCGGACCGCAAGGCGUCGCGCGAUUGGAUGAGCCGAUGUCCGAUUAGCUAGUUGGCGGGGUAAUGGCCCACCAAGGCGACGAUCGGUAGCUGGUCUGAGAGGAUGAUCAGCCACACUGGAACUGAGACACGGUCCAGACUCCUACGGGAGGCAGCAGUGGGGAAUAUUGGACAAUGGGCGAAAGCCUGAUCCAGCCAUUCCGCGUGCAGGAUGAAGGCCCUCGGGUUGUAAACUGCUUUUGUACAGAACGAAAAGGUCUCUAUUAAUACUAGGGGCUCAUGACGGUACUGUAAGAAUAAGCACCGGCUAACUACGUG
RNAcentral lists this ribosomal RNA (481 nucleotides) under uncultured bacterium. RNAcentral's name for it is "bacterial SSU rRNA". It matches the Rfam family "Bacterial small subunit ribosomal RNA", at positions 30 to 507 of the family's 1533-position model. The record is from RNAcentral.